RNAcentral lists this ribosomal RNA (213 nucleotides) under uncultured bacterium. RNAcentral describes it as "partial 16S ribosomal RNA". It matches the Rfam family "Bacterial small subunit ribosomal RNA", at positions 121 to 334 of the family's 1533-position model. The record is from RNAcentral.
GUAACCUGCCUCACACAGGGGGAUAACAGUUAGAGAUGACUGCUAAUACCGCAUAAGCGCACGGCAUCGCAUGAUGCAGUGUGAAAAACUCCGGUGGUGUGAGAUGGAUCCGCGUCUGAUUAGGUAGUUGGUGGGGUAACGGCCCACCAAGCCGACGAUCAGUAGCCGACCUGAGAGGGUGACCGGCCACAUUGGGACUGAGACACGGCCCAA